Molecule: long non-coding RNA, 234 nt
Filed under: Lathyrus oleraceus (garden pea)
Lineage: Eukaryota; Viridiplantae; Streptophyta; Magnoliopsida; Fabales; Fabaceae
Description: Pisum sativum (pea) long non-coding RNA (PSAT_LNC026821)
Source: RNAcentral
GGGGUUUCGGGAAUGGUUCCUAUAUUUACGAAGUUUAUGGUGCUAAAAUAAUACUGAUGUUUCGCAAAGUUCUCCCAAGUCACCGCAUGGAAAUGAUGAUUAAGGCCAUGGUAUAUGGGGUUUCGGGAAUGGUUCCUAUAUUUACGAAGUUUAUGGUGCUAAAAUAAUACUGAUGUUUCGCAAAGUUCUCCCAAGUCACCGCAUCCUUACUCAAAACAUGUCUUUAAAAACCUG